This 102-nucleotide transfer RNA is filed under the name archaeon. RNAcentral describes it as "tRNA-Ala". It matches the Rfam family "tRNA". From Rfam's summary of the family: Transfer RNA (tRNA) molecules are approximately 80 nucleotides in length. The record is from RNAcentral.
GGGCUCGUAGCUCAGCGGUAGAGCAUCGCCUUUGCAAGGCGGGGGUCUCGGGUUCAAAAAUAUCUAAAAUACUUUUAGAUGUUGAAUUUCCCGACGAGUCCA